RNAcentral lists this long non-coding RNA (318 nucleotides) under Homo sapiens (human). RNAcentral describes it as "non-protein coding lnc-ABHD4-12:32". Lineage: Eukaryota; Metazoa; Chordata; Mammalia; Primates; Hominidae. The record is from RNAcentral.
CUGACUCUGUGAACAAUUUGCAGUGGUUUCAUCAAAACCCUUGGGGACAGCUCAUCAACCUGUUUUACAUUCCCUCAGGGACAAAACAGAAUGGAAGAUUAAGCGCCACGACUGUCGCUACGGAACGCUACAGCUUAUUGUACAUUUCCUCUUCCCAGACCACAGACUCAGGCGUUUAUUUCUGUGCUGUGGAGCCACAUGGGGGAAAUUCCAGUUUGGAGCAGGGACCCAGGUUGUGGUCACCCCAGUAUCCAGAACCCUGACCCUGCCGUGUACCAGCUGAGAGACUCUAAAUCCAGUGACAAGUCUGUCUGCCUA